RNAcentral lists this ribosomal RNA (498 nucleotides) under Escherichia marmotae. Its description in RNAcentral is "partial 23S ribosomal RNA". It matches the Rfam family "Bacterial large subunit ribosomal RNA", at positions 1271 to 1769 of the family's 2925-position model. Lineage: Bacteria; Pseudomonadati; Pseudomonadota; Gammaproteobacteria; Enterobacterales; Enterobacteriaceae. The record is from RNAcentral.
UGCUGGAGGUAUCAGAAGUGCGAAUGCUGACAUAAGUAACGAUAAAGCGGGUGAAAAGCCCGCUCGCCGGAAGACCAAGGGUUCCUGUCCAACGUUAAUCGGGGCAGGGUGAGUCGACCCCUAAGGCGAGGCCGAAAGGCGUAGUCGAUGGGAAACAGGUUAAUAUUCCUGUACUUGGUGUUACUGCGAAGGGGGGACGGAGAAGGCUAUGUUGGCCGGGCGACGGUUGUCCCGGUUUAAGCGUGUAGGCUGAUUUUCCAGGCAAAUCCGGAGAAUCAAGGCUGAGGCGUGAUGACGAGGCACUACGGUGCUGAAGCAACAAAUGCCCUGCUUCCAGGAAAAGCCUCUAAGCAUCAGGUAACAUCAAAUCGUACCCCAAACCGACACAGGUGGUCAGGUAGAGAAUACCAAGGCGCUUGAGAGAACUCGGGUGAAGGAACUAGGCAAAAUGGUGCCGUAACUUCGGGAGAAGGCACGCUGAUAUGUAGGUGAAGCGAC